Molecule: small nuclear RNA, 191 nt
Organism: Sorex araneus (European shrew)
Lineage: Eukaryota; Metazoa; Chordata; Mammalia; Eulipotyphla; Soricidae
Gene: U2
Rfam family: U2 spliceosomal RNA
About the family: U2 is a small nuclear RNA (snRNA) component of the spliceosome (involved in pre-mRNA splicing). Complementary binding between U2 snRNA (in an area lying towards the 5' end but 3' to hairpin I) and the branchpoint sequence (BPS) of the intron results the bulging out of an unpaired adenosine, on the BPS, which initiates a nucleophilic attack at the intronic 5' splice site, thus starting the first of two transesterification reactions that mediate splicing.
Source: Ensembl
AUUGCUUCUCAGCCUUUUGGUAAGAUCAAAUGUAGUAUCUAUUCUAAUAAGUUUAAAAUUUGAUACAUCCUCUAUCUGAAGACAGUACAUUAAAUGGAUUUUUGGAGCAGAGUGUUGGAUAGGAGCUUGCUCUGUUCACUUCACGCACCAACCUGGAAGUUUGUAGUCUUUCCAGAAAUGGUGCAUUUACA